This 944-nucleotide long non-coding RNA is filed under the name Nicotiana benthamiana. Its description in RNAcentral is "long non-coding RNA (NBEN_LNC013268)". The record is from RNAcentral. Lineage: Eukaryota; Viridiplantae; Streptophyta; Magnoliopsida; Solanales; Solanaceae.
CAUAAAUAUAUAAGACUAAAUUAAAGGGAUUCAGGGGAAAGGGGUGUGUAAGAACUCAAACCGCAUAAAACAGCAAAGAGAAAGAACUGAGCAUGCUGAACUGAAAAAUUAAAACAUAAACAGACAAGAAAAAAAAUGGAGAACUAGACAUGCUGCGACUGAAAUACACACAGACAAGGGAAAUGAGGAAAGGGAUUCAACAUGUUAAGGCUUAAACUGAGCCUACAUGGGAAAAGGGGAAGGUGAUUAAACAUGACGAACAAAAGCGGAACAGCAUACAGAAAGCAUGGAAUACAUGAACUGAAAACCCUAUAAAAUAACAGUAAAGUACAACACCUUAGAGUCAUGGUGGAAAGUUCCUAAAAAUCAUAGCAAAGACAUAAAGAAGAACACUCAGUAACAAGUAAAGCGAAGAAAUUAGAGAAAUCAUGGAAAGUCGUAGAAACCCUAGGUUUAAAAAGACGAACAGUUUGAAAACACAAAUAGGCGAAGAAGAAGUGAGAAAUUUUUUGAAAUCUUUAGAAAAUCACCAGGACUCAAAGGGGAUUGUAAAAUAAACACAGAGAAGAAAAAGAAGUGAGAAAGAUUUUGAAAUCUUUAGAAAAUCACCAGGACUCAGAGGGGAUCGUAAAAUAAAAACAAAGAAGAACAUCAAGAAAUUAGGGUUUUCAGAGAAAGGUCUCAAAGCAUCGAGAAAAGUCUGGAAUGGACUCGUCGGAGCCUUAAGACUUGCCGGAGAAAGCUUGGACACAGCUGCAAACCCAUAGGAGGAACUCUGGUCCAACCACACUUGAAAUACAGUUCCAAUCUUCAAACACAACGACCAGGAGAGGUGAAGAGUGAACGGGUGAAGGAGUUUCAGGUCUUGGAUGGCCAUGAACGCCAGUGAAGUGAGAAGGAGAAGACUAGGUUUUUAGAGAACCUAGAGAGCAUUUGGGAGUGAA